This 102-nucleotide non-coding RNA is filed under the name Veillonellaceae bacterium DNF00626. RNAcentral's name for it is "SAM riboswitch aptamer (S box leader)". It matches the Rfam family "SAM riboswitch aptamer (S box leader)". From Rfam's summary of the family: The SAM riboswitch is found upstream of a number of genes which code for proteins involved in methionine or cysteine biosynthesis in Gram-positive bacteria. The SAM riboswitch acts at the level of transcription termination control. The predicted structure consists of a complex stem-loop region followed by a single stem loop terminator region. RNAcentral also lists the same sequence under 1 other name. Lineage: Bacteria; Bacillati; Bacillota; Negativicutes; Veillonellales; Veillonellaceae. The record is from Rfam by way of RNAcentral.
AACUCAUCAAGAGCAAUAGAGGGACGUGGCCCAAUGAAGUUGCAGCAACCUUUCCAUAUAGGGAAAAGGUGCUAAUUCCACCAGCACGCUGGCAGAUGAGAG